RNAcentral lists this transfer RNA (73 nucleotides) under Apaloderma vittatum (bar-tailed trogon). It matches the Rfam family "tRNA". Rfam says of the family: Transfer RNA (tRNA) molecules are approximately 80 nucleotides in length. Their secondary structure includes four short double-helical elements and three loops (D, anti-codon, and T loops). Lineage: Eukaryota; Metazoa; Chordata; Aves; Trogoniformes; Trogonidae. The record is from Rfam by way of RNAcentral.
GGUCAGUUAGCUCAGUUGGUUUAAGCAUGGUGCUGAUAACACCAAGGUCAUGGGUUCGAUCCCUGUUUGUUCC